Rhagoletis pomonella (apple maggot) is the source of this 217-nucleotide long non-coding RNA. RefSeq lists it as uncharacterized. The record is from RefSeq and is a predicted model, not a curated record. Lineage: Eukaryota; Metazoa; Arthropoda; Insecta; Diptera; Tephritidae. The transcript has 3 exons.
CACAUAGGAGUAUUUGUAUGAAAAAGCCGGUCAUAAGUCGAAUUAAAAAAAUAUGUUUAAUCUCAUCACAGAAACUAUUUUCUUGAAGAUUUCCAUAGUGUGUAAUGGUUAACUGUGCUUUUGUUUUGUGAAGUAAACGAAAAAAUCUUUUUGGACAUGGAAGGGCAAGCACUUAAUAAUUUUGACCGGUUUUUGGACUGAAAUACUCCUAUGUGCG